Molecule: unclassified non-coding RNA, 236 nt
Filed under: Diplodia sp.
Lineage: Eukaryota; Fungi; Ascomycota; Dothideomycetes; Botryosphaeriales; Botryosphaeriaceae
Description: partial contains 5.8S ribosomal RNA, internal transcribed spacer 2, and large subunit ribosomal RNA
Rfam family: 5.8S ribosomal RNA (bases 1-52)
Source: RNAcentral
AACGCACAUUGCGCCCUUUGGUAUUCCGAAGGGCAUGCCUGUUCGAGCGUCAUUAGUACCAAAUCAAGCUCGGCUUGGUGUUGGAGCUCGCCGUUAGGCGGCUCUUAAACUCAGUGGCAGUGCUGCCGGGCUCUAAGCGUAGUAACUUUCUCGCUAUAGGGUCCCGGGAGACACCCGCCAGAACUCUUAUAUAACUGGUUGACCUCGGAUCAGGUAGGGAUACCCGCUGAACUUAA